RNAcentral lists this ribosomal RNA (250 nucleotides) under uncultured prokaryote. RNAcentral's name for it is "partial 16S ribosomal RNA". It matches the Rfam family "Bacterial small subunit ribosomal RNA", at positions 524 to 773 of the family's 1533-position model. The record is from RNAcentral.
UACGUAGGAGGCAAGCGUUGUCCGGAAUGACUGGGCGUAAAGGGUGCGCAGCCGGCCUUUCAAGUUGGUAGCGUAAUUCCGGGGCUUAACCUCGGCGCUACUACCAAAACUGUUAGGCUUGAGUGCAGGAGAGGUAAGUGGAAUUCCUAGUGUAGCGGUGGAAUGCGUAGAUAUUAGGAGGAACACCAGUGGCGAAGGCGACUUACUGGACUGUAACUGACGGUCAGGCACGAAAGCGUGGGGAGCAAAC